UGGGAUGUUGCCAAGAGGUAAGGCGCCGGAUUCUGAUUCCGGUAUUCCAGGGUUCGAAUCCCUGCAUCCCAG
This 72-nucleotide transfer RNA is filed under the name Candidatus Pantoea carbekii. Its description in RNAcentral is "tRNA-Gln (CTG) (tRNA-Gln-CTG-1-1)". It matches the Rfam family "tRNA". From Rfam's summary of the family: Transfer RNA (tRNA) molecules are approximately 80 nucleotides in length. Their secondary structure includes four short double-helical elements and three loops (D, anti-codon, and T loops). Lineage: Bacteria; Pseudomonadati; Pseudomonadota; Gammaproteobacteria; Enterobacterales; Erwiniaceae. The record is from Rfam by way of RNAcentral.